Molecule: transfer RNA, 34 nt
Filed under: Pulicaria incisa
Lineage: Eukaryota; Viridiplantae; Streptophyta; Magnoliopsida; Asterales; Asteraceae
Also listed under: 2 other names
Description: partial tRNA-Leu
Source: RNAcentral
GACUUAAAAUCCGUCGAUUUCAAAAAUCGUGAGG